GCUUACAGACUCGGAGACUAUUUGAACUAUGAACAAUUGGUACCUUAUUGGUUCCAAUAUUUAAAAGAUUUUCAAGAAAUUAUGGAGUCAUUUUCAAGUAUUCAACGGAAAUACUACGAUUAUCACCUCGAGUUAAUAAAUAAAAAGAGCG
Molecule: long non-coding RNA, 151 nt
Organism: Rhopalosiphum padi (bird cherry-oat aphid)
Lineage: Eukaryota; Metazoa; Arthropoda; Insecta; Hemiptera; Aphididae
Exons: 4
Source: RefSeq, a predicted model, not a curated record